UCAAUGUAGCGAAAAUUCCCGCACCCGUAGGUGUCCUUCAGCUGGGCCCUAAAAUAUGUAUACUAGUACAGUGAUAAUGGACGUCAUACUAAACUCCAAAUUAUACACAAGAAACUAAAAUUAAAAAUCAUACAAGACGAACAAAGGCCAGAAGCUCCUGACUUGGGACAGGCGCAAAAUUGCGGCGGGGUUAAACAUGUUUAUGAGAUCUCAACCCUCCCCUAUACCUCUGGCCAAUGUAGAAAAGUAAACCCAUAACAAUACGCACAUUAAAAUUCAGUUCAAGAGAAGUCCGAGUCCGAUGUCAAAAGAUGUAACAACAGAAAAUAAAUAAAAUGACAAUAAUACAUAAAUAACAACAGACUACUAGCAAUUAACUGACAUGCCAGC
RNAcentral lists this long non-coding RNA (390 nucleotides) under Mytilus galloprovincialis (Mediterranean mussel). The record is from RNAcentral. Lineage: Eukaryota; Metazoa; Mollusca; Bivalvia; Mytilida; Mytilidae.